Molecule: ribosomal RNA, 253 nt
Filed under: uncultured bacterium
Lineage: Bacteria
Description: partial 16S ribosomal RNA
Rfam family: Bacterial small subunit ribosomal RNA
Source: RNAcentral
UACGGAGGGUGCAAGCGUUGUCCGGAUUUAUUGGGUUUAAAGGGUGCGUAGGCGGCCCGUUAAGUCAGUGGUGAAAACCUCCAGCUCAACUGGAGAACUGCCAUUGAUACUGGCGGGCUUGAGUACAGACGAGGUUGGCGGAAUUGAUUGUGUAGCGGUGAAAUGCAUAGAUACAAUCAAGAACACCGAUUGCGUAGGCAGCUAACUAGGCUGUAACUGACGCUGAGGCACGAAAGCGUGGGGAGCGAACAGG